UAUUGGUCAAUGGGCUAAGGCCUGAACCAGCCAAGUCGCGUGAGGGAAGACGGUCCUAUGGAUUGUAAACCUCUUUUGUCGGGGAGCAACGAGGCCACGUGUGGCCGAAGUGAGAGUACCUGAAGAAAAAGCAUCGGCUAACUCCGUGCCAGCAGCCGCGGUAAUACGGAGGAUGCGAGCGUUAUCCGGAUUUAUUGGGUUUAAAGGGUGGGCAGGCGGUCUGUUAAGUCAGCGGUCAAAGCCCGGGGCUCAACCCCGGCCCGCCGUUGAAACUGGCAGUCUCGAGUUGGAGAGAAGUAUGCGGAAUGCGCGGUGUAGCGGUGAAACGCAUAGAUAUCGCGCAGAACUCCGAUUGCGAAGGCAGCAUGCCGGCUCCACACUGACGCUGAGGCACGAAAGCGUGGGUAUCG
This 410-nucleotide ribosomal RNA is filed under the name uncultured bacterium. Its description in RNAcentral is "bacterial SSU rRNA". It matches the Rfam family "Bacterial small subunit ribosomal RNA", at positions 362 to 770 of the family's 1533-position model. The record is from RNAcentral.